Long non-coding RNA from Carassius auratus (goldfish), 721 nucleotides. RefSeq lists it as uncharacterized. The transcript has 3 exons. Lineage: Eukaryota; Metazoa; Chordata; Actinopteri; Cypriniformes; Cyprinidae. The record is from RefSeq and is a predicted model, not a curated record.
CGUUGCUUUACUGCCAUCUUUUGGUUCUAGUUAUUUCCCGUAUACCUCAGUCAUCAUAUUAUUGUCAUGAUGAAUCCCGUUUUAGUCAGAAAGCAAAUCAAAUAUUUCAUUCCUUGUUCACUCCUACUGCAGUCCAUUAUAUACUUUACUUUACUUUAAUAUGUGUCUGCAAGAGUCUUUUGUAGCUCACUUGGAACCUACAAGCUUCACCGCACAGCAAGUCCCUUUGAUCGGAGAGUCACUUGCCUGGAAUGCCAUCCAACCCAUCCCACCACUGUUGCAGUGGGCUCCAAGAGUGGAAACAUCAUCCUGUGGGAUUAUGAUAUGCUGAAUAAAAUAACUUUCAUAAGGGUUUGAUCUGGAACCGAGAGGACACGCUAAGCAGUGUUAAUCCGAAACAGACAAUGGAGAAAGUGGAGGACAGUGAAAGCAGACCUGGAACCUCCAGAUCCCAGCUUUGCACUCUGCAGCAUACGAAUAGAGACAGAAGAGCAGCUGCUGAUGAUGCCAAGCUCAAGAAAGAGACCAAGUCAAAGACCAAGAGCAAGACAGAAUGCAAGACCUCAAAAGCGAAGAAAAAGUGAGAGAGAAUACACUGAGAUUUUAGAUACUAAAGGUCUCAGGCUCAUGUCAAAAUGUAAAUCCUGGAACAACAACUUGUUUUUGGUUACCUUUUAUAGGGCUUAAAAUAUGUAUAUUCUGAUCAAAAUAAACUUUUGUG